This 89-nucleotide small nuclear RNA is filed under the name Peromyscus maniculatus bairdii (prairie deer mouse). The record is from RNAcentral. Lineage: Eukaryota; Metazoa; Chordata; Mammalia; Rodentia; Cricetidae.
GUGCUCACUUCGGCAGCACGAUACAGAGAAGAUUAGCAUGGCCCCUGUGCAAGGAUGGCACGUGGAUUUGUGAAGUGUUCCAUAUUUUU